GCCUGUUUAUCAAAAACAUAGUUUAGUGUAUAUACAUACUAAAUUAAUUCUGCCCAGUGUAUAUAUUAUAAAUGGCCGCAGUACCCUGACUGUGCUAAGGUAGCAUAAUCAAUUGGCUUUUAAUUGAAGUCUGGAAUGAAAGAAUAAAUGAGGUUAUUCUCUCUUAAAAGUACUAUUAAAAAGUUAUUUAUUAGGUGAAAAUACCUAAACUCAAUUAAAAGACGAGAAGACCCUAAGAGUUUUUAAUAAAAAUAAUGUAGAUUAUUUAUUUUUUUGUUGGGGCGACAAUUUAGCACUUCUUUAAAACCUAAAUUUUUGUACAAGGCGAUUAUUUUAAGAAAGAAAAAACUACCUUAGGGAUAACAGCAUAAUUUUUUAAAAAGUUUGUGACCUCGAUGUUGGACUAGGAACUUUAUGACUAGCAGUCAAAAGAGAUUUAUUCUGUUCGAAUAAUUUUAUCCUACGUGAUCUGA
RNAcentral lists this ribosomal RNA (473 nucleotides) under Indoplanorbis exustus. Its description in RNAcentral is "partial 16S ribosomal RNA". It matches the Rfam family "Bacterial large subunit ribosomal RNA", at positions 1798 to 2608 of the family's 2925-position model. The record is from RNAcentral. Lineage: Eukaryota; Metazoa; Mollusca; Gastropoda; Planorbidae.